Molecule: ribosomal RNA, 403 nt
Filed under: uncultured bacterium
Lineage: Bacteria
Description: partial 16S ribosomal RNA
Rfam family: Bacterial small subunit ribosomal RNA
Source: RNAcentral
GACGAACGCUGGCGGCGUGCCUAAUACAUGCAAGUCGAACGCAGUGGGGACGGGUGAGUAACACGUGGGUAACCUCCCAUCAGAGGGGAUAACCCUUGGAUACAGGUGCUAAACCGCUACUGAUGGAUGGACCCGCGGUGCAUUAGCUAGUUGGUGAGGUAACGGCCCACCAAGGCGAGGAUGAGUAGCGGGUCUGAGAGGAUGACCGGCCAAAUUGGAACUGAGACACGGCCCAGACUCCUACGGGAGGCAGCAGUGGGGAAUCUUCCGCAAUGGGCGAAAGCCUGAUCCAGCCAUGCCGCGUGUGUGAAGAAGGUCUUCGGAUUGUAAAGCACUUUAAGUGGGGAGGCGUUACCAACAGAAUAAGCACCGGCUAACUUCGUGCCAGCAGCCGCGGUAAUAC